AGAGUUUGAUCAUGGCUCAGAGUGAACGCUGGCGGCGUGCUUAACACAUGCAAGUCGAACGGUAACAGGAAGCAGCUUGCUGCUUUGCUGACGAGUGGCGCACGGGUGAGUAAUAGAUAGAUAAUGUGCCCCUUAGUCUGGGAUAGCCACUGGAAACGGUGAUUAAUACUAGAUACUCCUUCUCAUCACAAGGUGAGUCGGGAAAGUUUUUCGCUAAGGGAUCGGUCUAUCUCCCAUCAGUUAGUUGGUAAGGUAACGGCUUACCAAGGCAAUGACGGGUAGCGGGUUUGAGAGGAUGAUCCGCCACACUGGUACUGAGACUCGGACCAGACUCCUACGGGAGGCAGCAGUGAGGAAUAUUGCACAAUGGGGGAAACCCUGAUGCAGCAACGCCGCGUGGAGGAUGACGCAUUUCGGUGUGUAAACUCCUUUUAUAUGUCAAGAAAAUGACGGUAGCAUAUGAAUAAGCACCGGCUAACUCCGUGCCAGCAGCCGCGGUAAUACGGAGGGUGCAAGCGUUACUCGGAAUCACUGGGCGUAAAGGACGCGUAGGCGGGUUGGUAAGUCAGAUGUGAAAUCCUACAGCUUAACUGUAGAACUGCAUUUGAAACUACUAACCUAGAGUAUGGGAGAGGGAAGUGGA
RNAcentral lists this ribosomal RNA (643 nucleotides) under uncultured bacterium. RNAcentral's name for it is "bacterial SSU rRNA". It matches the Rfam family "Bacterial small subunit ribosomal RNA", at positions 8 to 665 of the family's 1533-position model. The record is from RNAcentral.